This is a non-coding RNA of Acanthosepion pharaonis, 100 nucleotides long. Lineage: Eukaryota; Metazoa; Mollusca; Cephalopoda; Sepiida; Sepiidae. The record is from the annotation of a GenBank genome assembly.
GACUGAAGCACCAAUUUCCUUUCGAUCACUGAGGUUAAGCAACGUCGAGCCUGGUUAGUAUUUAGAUGAUUGACCGCUUGGGAAUACCAGGUGUUGUAAG